GGGGUUGUAGCUCAGUGGUAGAAUGCUCACCUAGCACGUGUAAGGCCCUGAGUUCGAUCCUCAGCACCUCA
RNAcentral lists this transfer RNA (71 nucleotides) under Marmota monax (woodchuck). It matches the Rfam family "tRNA". Rfam says of the family: Transfer RNA (tRNA) molecules are approximately 80 nucleotides in length. Lineage: Eukaryota; Metazoa; Chordata; Mammalia; Rodentia; Sciuridae. The record is from Rfam by way of RNAcentral.